This 825-nucleotide ribosomal RNA is filed under the name Triticum aestivum (bread wheat). Its description in RNAcentral is "partial small subunit ribosomal RNA". The record is from RNAcentral. Lineage: Eukaryota; Viridiplantae; Streptophyta; Magnoliopsida; Poales; Poaceae.
AUGUUGGUCGCCGGCGGCUGGUUCACGCGGGUGCUGUCGUCGUUGACGAACCUCCUGUUCAUGUGGUCCAUGGCGCAGCAGUGCGUUCCAGACAUUGUCAGGGACUACGUCGACACCCUCAUCAGCCGGAUCAAGGACGCCAUAUCCCCCUACGACACCAUCACCCUGGACGAGCACGACCCCGACUGCUUCGGCCGCAACGAGGCCUACGAAACCGCCGAGGCCUACCUCAGCGCCACCUGCGCGUCCAGCGCCCGCUGCCUCCUCGCCACCCUCGACUUCGACGACGACCGCAUGAGCCUCACCAUGGACGACCACGAGGUCGUCGACAACUUCCGCGGCGCCGACAUCCGCUGGAACAAGAUCAAGGUGUUUCCCCGCGUCACAACCAUCAUCACCAAGGGGCCCGCCCGCAGCGAGGAGCGCCGCAUGUACCGCCUCACCUUCCACCGCCGCCACCGGGGGCUCGUCGAGGACGCUUACCUGCCGCACGUCCUCGCCGAGGGUCGUGACGCCAUCAGCAGAAACCGCCACCGCAGCCUCCACACCAACAAGCCCAAGGACGACUGGUCCGGGGACUACGGCUGGAGCAGCCUCAAGUUCGAGCACCCCUCCACCUUCUCCACCCUCGCCAUGGACCCCACCAAGAAGCAAGAGAUUCUUGACGAUCUCGAGAUGUUCCGUGACGGCAAGGACUAUUACGCCUCAAUCGGCAAGACAUGGAAGCGAGGUUACCUCUUGUUUGGGCCUCCUGGCACCGGCAAGUCCACCAUGAUCGCGGCCAUGGCCAACUUCCUCAACUACGACGUCUAUGACCUGAGCUGA